ACAGGGAUUGCCCUAGUAACGGCGAGUGAAGCGGCAACAGCUCAAAUUUGAAAUCUGGCGUCUUUGGCGUCCGAGUUGUAAUUUGCAGAGGGCGCUUUGGCAUUGGCAGCGGUCCAAGUUCCUUGGAACAGGACGUCACAGAGGGUGAGAAUCCCGUACGUGGUCGCUAGCCUUUACCGUGUAAAGCCCCUUCGACGAGUCGAGUUGUUUGGGAAUGCAGCUCUAAAUGGGAGGUAAAUUUCUUCUAAAGCUAAAUACUGGCCAGAGACCGAUAGCGCACAAGUAGAGUGAUCGAAAGAUGAAAAGCACUUUGGAAAGAGAGUUAAAAAGCACGUGAAAUUGUUGAAAGGGAAGCGCUUGCAGCCAGACUUGCCUGUAGUUGCUCAUCCGGGUUUCUACCCGGUGCACUCUUCUAUAGGCAGGCCAGCAUCAGUUUGGGCGGUUAGAUAAAGGUCUCUGUCAUGUACCUCCUCUCGGGGAGAACUUAUAGGGGAGACGACAUGUAACCAGCCCGGACUGAGGUCCGCGCAUCUGCUAGGAUGCUGGCGUAAUGGCUGUAAGCGGCCCGUCUUGAAACACGGACCAAGGAGUCUAACAUCUAUGCGAGUGUUUGGGUGUCAAGCCCGAGCGCGUAAUGAAAGUGAACGGAGGUGGGAACCUUUCGGGGUGCACCAUCGACCGAUCCUGAUGUCUUCGGAUGGAUUUGAGUAAGAGCAUAGCUGUUGGGACCCGAAAGAUGGUGAACUAUGCUUGAAUAGGGUGAAGCCAGAGGAAACUCUGGUGGAGGCUCGCAGCGGUUCUGACGUGCAAAUCGAUCGUCAAAUUUGGGCAUAGGGGCGAAAGACUAAUCGAACUAUCUAGUAGCUGGUUCCUGCCGAAGUUUCCCUCAGGAUAGCAGUAACGUUUUCAGUUUUAUGAGGUAAAGCGAAUGAUUAGAGGCCUGGGGGUUGAAACAACCUU
This 960-nucleotide ribosomal RNA is filed under the name Epicoccum proteae. RNAcentral describes it as "partial large subunit ribosomal RNA". It matches the Rfam family "Eukaryotic large subunit ribosomal RNA", at positions 68 to 1048 of the family's 3401-position model. The record is from RNAcentral. Lineage: Eukaryota; Fungi; Ascomycota; Dothideomycetes; Pleosporales; Didymellaceae.